UGCCAGCCGCCGCGGUAACACGGGGGGCGCAAGCGUUAUUCGGAAUUAUUGGGCGUAAAGGGCGCGCAGGCGGUCUUGUCCGUCAGAUGUGAAAGCCCGGGGCUCAACCCCGGACGUGCAUUUGAAACAGUAAGACUUGAGUACGGGAGAGGAGAGAGGAAUUCCUGGUGUAGAGGUGAAAUUCGUAGAUAUCAGGAGGAACACCGAUGGCGAAGGCAUCUCUCUGGACCGAUACUGACGCUGAGGUGCGAAAGCGUGGGGAGCAAACCGGAUUAGAUA
RNAcentral lists this ribosomal RNA (279 nucleotides) under uncultured bacterium. RNAcentral describes it as "partial 16S ribosomal RNA". It matches the Rfam family "Bacterial small subunit ribosomal RNA", at positions 506 to 784 of the family's 1533-position model. The record is from RNAcentral.